UUUUUCAUUGAUGAGGGACAACAUACCCAGA
Molecule: non-coding RNA, 31 nt
Filed under: Rattus norvegicus (Norway rat)
Lineage: Eukaryota; Metazoa; Chordata; Mammalia; Rodentia; Muridae
Source: RNAcentral